This 250-nucleotide ribosomal RNA is filed under the name uncultured bacterium. RNAcentral's name for it is "partial 16S ribosomal RNA". It matches the Rfam family "Bacterial small subunit ribosomal RNA", at positions 524 to 773 of the family's 1533-position model. The record is from RNAcentral.
GACGAAGGAUGCAAGCGUUAUCCGGAUUCAUUGGGUUUAAAGGGUGCGUAGGCGGACUUGUAAGUCAGUGGUGAAAUCUCUUUGCUUAACAAAGAAACUGCCAUUGAUACUGCAGGUCUAGAGUAUAGAUGACGUUGGCGGAAUAUGACAUGUAGUGGUGAAAUACUUAGAUAUGUCAUAGAACACCGAUUGCGAAGGCAGCUAACGAAACUAUAACUGACGCUGAGGCACGAAAGUGCGGGGAUCAAAC